Pristis pectinata (smalltooth sawfish) is the source of this 889-nucleotide long non-coding RNA. RefSeq lists it as uncharacterized. The record is from RefSeq and is a predicted model, not a curated record. Lineage: Eukaryota; Metazoa; Chordata; Chondrichthyes; Rhinopristiformes; Pristidae. The transcript is spliced from 3 exons.
AGGGCCGGAGGGAGGAGCCUGUGGGCCGGCGGACGGAGAUCGGCGGGCACCUGACGUCUGUCAGCCCAGCGAGAGCAACGUGCGGCGGCCGCGGCAGGGCGGGCAGUCGGCAUCGCACCCCGCCUCCUCGACUCGAUAGGCCGAAUGGCCUACUUCUGCUCCCUUGUCUUGUGAUACUAUUUUUAUAUGACAAUUUCCUGAAACACAAGCCAUCAGAACAACUGCUCCUCAACAAAAUAUGCUGCCUGGCCUGCUGAGUUCCUCCAGCGUCAUCGUGCUUUUCAUCAACGUAAUGAGUUGCUUUCUUCAUGAAGCUUCAAGGCCAGUAACAACCCUGCCCAAUUAGAAUGUCAAUGGCUGUAGACAAUAGGCACCAGCAAUCUCCUUUGAAUGUAAACAGGGCUUCAAUCAGGCUUCUGGCAAAGUUACAGUGUCAGUCAGGCCUUGUUGGGGACAUUUGUAGCCUAUUAGAGAACAUUACCAGGGCUGUUUGAGUCUGGGGUGACCCAACAAUGCACCACUUUAAUUUAUAUUAGGAGCUAGAGGAAGCGAGCUGUGUAAAUGAAUUAACACAGCUUUGGUGCUCUUGAACCCAGAAAGCUGCAGCAGAGAGAAUGGGAAUGAUCACAUCUCACUGUGUUUGCUGUCAACCGUGUCACUAAUGAUCUGUAACCUUGAACGGUCAUCUCCAGAGUCUUGAUACUUAAAUAAACUGACUCUUCAUGCAGCUGCUGAGCUCCUCUCAGUCCUGGUGCCCUGGCCAACAAUUUCAAUGGCACAGCCACGUUGCCAAAGGUUCACGUGUACUUUCAGUGCAUGGCUACAUGAUAUACUUGGAAAGCAUUCCACUUGUCAACAGGACAUCAGUGGAGGAUUUCACAAAGCUUGU